This 267-nucleotide ribosomal RNA is filed under the name uncultured bacterium. Its description in RNAcentral is "partial 16S ribosomal RNA". It matches the Rfam family "Bacterial small subunit ribosomal RNA", at positions 69 to 339 of the family's 1533-position model. The record is from RNAcentral. RNAcentral also lists the same sequence under 1 other name.
UAGAGAGAAGCUUGCUUCUCUUGAGAGCGGCGGACGGGUGAGUAAUGCCUAGGAAUCUGCCUGGUAGUGGGGGAUAACGUUCGGAAACGGACGCUAAUACCGCAUACGUCCUACGGGAGAAAGCAGGGGACCUUCGGGCCUUGCGCUAUCAGAUGAGCCUAGGUCGGAUUAGCUAGUUGGUGGGGUAAUGGCUCACCAAGGCGACGAUCCGUAACUGGUCUGAGAGGAUGAUCAGUCACACUGGAACUGAGACACGGUCCAGACUCC